UGAUCCUUUCAAGUAAUGGAGCACCAAGAGUUAGUUUAGUGCAAAACAAGAUGUAACAUUUGAACUACACGCUUCACCUUUUUUUUUUUGAUGCAAACGAUCUAAAUUAAAGUUAUAUGUGGGUUUGUUCAAAUGUUCCAUCAUUGUUAACUCAAGUUCUCGUAUAUGUAUAUCAUUCAAAACACAAUAAUUUCACUUCUCGUAUAAACAAAGACAACAACUUAC
This 225-nucleotide long non-coding RNA is filed under the name Capsella rubella. RNAcentral's name for it is "long non-coding RNA (CRUB_LNC001087)". The record is from RNAcentral. Lineage: Eukaryota; Viridiplantae; Streptophyta; Magnoliopsida; Brassicales; Brassicaceae.